GUGACUGCGUACCUUUUGUAUAAUGGGUCAGCGACUUAUAUUCUGUAGCAAGGUUAACCGAAUAGGGGAGCCGAAGGGAAACCGAGUCUUAACUGGGCGUUAAGUUGCAGGGUAUAGACCCGAAACCCGGUGAUCUAGCCAUGGGCAGGUUGAAGGUUGGGUAACACUAACUGGAGGACCGAACCGACUAAUGUUGAAAAAUUAGCGGAUGACUUGUGGCUGGGGGUGAAAGGCCAAUCAAACCGGGAGAUAGCUGGUUCUCCCCGAAAGCUAUUUAGGUAGCGCCUCGUGAAUUCAUCUCCGGGGGUAGAGCACUGUUUCGGCAAGGGGGUCAUCCCGACUUACCAACCCGAUGCAAACUGCGAAUACCGGAGAAUGUUAUCACGGGAGACACACGGCGGGUGCUAACGUCCGUCGUGAAGAGGGAAACAACCCAGACCGCCAGCUAAGGUCCCAAAGUCAUGGUUAAGUGGGAAACGAUGUGGGAAGGCCCAGACAGCCAGGAUGUUGGCUUAGAAGCAGCCAUCAUUUAAAGAAAGCGUAAUAGCUCACUGGUCGAGUCGGCCUGCGCGGAAGAUGUAACGGGGCUAAACCAUGCACCGAAGCUGCGGCAGCGACACUAUGUGUUGUUGGGUAGGGGAGCG
This 644-nucleotide ribosomal RNA is filed under the name Escherichia coli. RNAcentral's name for it is "partial 23S ribosomal RNA". It matches the Rfam family "Bacterial large subunit ribosomal RNA", at positions 593 to 1238 of the family's 2925-position model. The record is from RNAcentral. Lineage: Bacteria; Pseudomonadati; Pseudomonadota; Gammaproteobacteria; Enterobacterales; Enterobacteriaceae.